UACAGAGGGUGCAAGCGUUGUUCGGAAUCAUUGGGCGUAAAGGGCGUGUAGGCGGUUUGUUAAGUCAUGUGUGAAAUCCCCAGGCUCAACCUGGGAACUGCGUCCGAUACUGGAUGGCUUGAAUUCGGGAGAGGGAUGCAGAAUUCCAGGUGUAGCGGUGAAAUGCGUAGAUAUCUGGAGGAAUACCGGUGGCGAAGGCGGCAUCCUGGACCGACAUUGACGCUGAGGAGCGAAAGCUAGGGGAGCAAACGGG
RNAcentral lists this ribosomal RNA (253 nucleotides) under uncultured bacterium. Its description in RNAcentral is "partial 16S ribosomal RNA". It matches the Rfam family "Bacterial small subunit ribosomal RNA", at positions 524 to 776 of the family's 1533-position model. The record is from RNAcentral.